GAACCAGACUCCUACGGGAGGCAGCAGUGAGGAAUAUUGGUCAAUGGGCGAGAGCCUGAACCAGCCAAGUCGCGUGAAGGAUGACGGCCCUACGGGUUGUAAACUUCUUUUGUCAGGGAGCAAUUGAGUCCACGUGUGGGCUUAGCGAGAGUACCUGAAGAAAAAGCAUCGGCUAACUCCGUGCCAGCAGCCGCGGUAAUACGGAGGAUGCGAGCGUUAUCCGGAUUUAUUGGGUUUAAAGGGUGCGUAGGCGGACAGUCAAGUCAGCGGUAAAAAUGCGGUGCUCAACGCCGUACAGCCGUUGAAACUGGCAGUCUUGAGUGGGCGAGAAGUAUGCGGAAUGCGUGGUGUAGCGGUGAAAUGCAUAGAUAUCACGCAGAACUCCGAUUGCGAAGGCAGCAUACCGGCGCCCUACUGACGCUGAGGCACGAAAGCGUGGGUAUCGAACAGGAUUAGAUACCCCCGUA
This 467-nucleotide ribosomal RNA is filed under the name uncultured bacterium. RNAcentral's name for it is "bacterial SSU rRNA". It matches the Rfam family "Bacterial small subunit ribosomal RNA", at positions 328 to 792 of the family's 1533-position model. The record is from RNAcentral.